This 120-nucleotide microRNA precursor is filed under the name Glycine soja. RNAcentral describes it as "MIR1520 microRNA precursor family". It matches the Rfam family "MIR1520 microRNA precursor family". Lineage: Eukaryota; Viridiplantae; Streptophyta; Magnoliopsida; Fabales; Fabaceae. The record is from Rfam by way of RNAcentral.
UUUUUAUUGGAUUAUGACUGUCACGUGUUAUGUUCUGAUUGGUUAAUGAAAACAACAAUGCAUUUCAUCUUUCAUGGAGUUGACAUCCAAUCAGAACAUGACAAGUGACAGUCAUCAUUC